RNAcentral lists this ribosomal RNA (253 nucleotides) under uncultured bacterium. RNAcentral describes it as "partial 16S ribosomal RNA". It matches the Rfam family "Bacterial small subunit ribosomal RNA", at positions 524 to 776 of the family's 1533-position model. The record is from RNAcentral.
UACGUAGGGUGCGAGCGUUGUCCGGAAUUAUUGGGCGUAAAGAGCUCGUAGGCGGUUUGUUGCGUCGGCCGUGAAAACCUGCGGCUUAACUGUGGGCCUGCGGCCGAUACGGGCAGACUUGAGUGCGGUAGGGGAGACUGGAAUUCCUGGUGUAGCGGUGAAAUGCGCAGAUAUCAGGAGGAACACCGGUGGCGAAGGCGGGUCUCUGGGCCGAUACUGACGCUGAGGAGCGAAAGCGUGGGGAGCGAACAGG